Long non-coding RNA from Grus americana (Whooping crane), 423 nucleotides. RefSeq lists it as uncharacterized. The transcript has 3 exons. NCBI's taxonomy places the organism in Eukaryota, Metazoa, Chordata, Aves, Gruiformes, Gruidae. The record is from RefSeq and is a predicted model, not a curated record.
GGAGAAAGUGGCCAGAAAAAAAGUUGAGUCCUGCCUGCGUGUGGCUGAGGUGGUGGUUUGCAAUGUUCCUACAAGCCCUUUGAUUUUUAGGGCGAAGGGGUCUCCCCGCUGUGCCUCCUUCUGCCUGGCUCCUCCGGCCCCCGCGGCAGACACUGCCUUCAUUGCCGCACAUCAGACUAACUCUCCAAGUUCUGCCAGAUGAACUGGGAUGAAAAAAGACUAAAUAAGGCUCCUGGUCUUGUUAUGCUCUCCAUGCACAGAUAGACAAGUGCGGAUGUGAAGAGCAAGAUUCCCGCUCAUCGUGCAUCUUAAAGUUCUGCAGAAAGGAAUUUAAAACCCUGCUGAACUCGUCGGCCUGCAGCUGCAGUUUCCAAAGUCUCUUCUGAGUGCAUCUGCGCAAUGCAAUGCUGCACCUACUCACAG